CUACGUAGGUGACAAGCGUUAUCCGGAUUUACUGGGCGUAAAGGGCGUGUAGGCGGUCUUGCAAGUCAGAAGUGAAAUUCCUGAGCUCAACUCGGGCGCUGCUUCUGAAACUGCAGGACUUGAGUGCUGGAGGGGAUAGCGGAAUUCCUAGUGUAGCGGUAAAAUGCGCAGAUAUUAGGAGGAACACCGGUGGCGAAGGCGGCUAUCUGGACAGUAACUGACGCUGAGGCGCGAAAGCACGGGGAGCAAACAGGAUUAGAUACCCUGGUAGUCCGUGCCGUAAACGAUGAAUACUAGGUGUAGGGGGUAUCGACUCCCUCUGUGCCGCAGUUAACACAAUAAGUAUUCCGCCUGGGGAGUACGGCCGCAAGGUUGAAACUCAAAGGAAUUGACGGGG
This 397-nucleotide ribosomal RNA is filed under the name uncultured bacterium. RNAcentral describes it as "partial 16S ribosomal RNA". It matches the Rfam family "Bacterial small subunit ribosomal RNA", at positions 523 to 918 of the family's 1533-position model. The record is from RNAcentral.